AAGACAGGAUGUUUAGUGGCGGACGGGUGAGUAACGCGUGAGUAACCUGCCUUGGAGUGGGGAAUAACACAGUGAAAACUGUGCUAAUACCGCAUAAUGCAUUUGGGUCGCAUGAUUCUGAAUGCCAAAGAUUUAUCGCUGAAAGAUGGCCUCGCGUCUGAUUAGCUGGUUGGAGGGGUAACGGCCCACCAAGGCGACGAUCAGUAGCCGGUCUGAGAGGAUGAACGGCCACACUGGAACUGAGACACGGUCCAGACUCC
RNAcentral lists this ribosomal RNA (260 nucleotides) under uncultured Eubacteriales bacterium. RNAcentral's name for it is "uncultured Clostridiales bacterium partial 16S ribosomal RNA". It matches the Rfam family "Bacterial small subunit ribosomal RNA", at positions 80 to 339 of the family's 1533-position model. Lineage: Bacteria; Bacillati; Bacillota; Clostridia; Eubacteriales. The record is from RNAcentral.